This is a long non-coding RNA of Pseudopipra pipra, 2176 nucleotides long. RefSeq lists it as uncharacterized. The record is from RefSeq and is a predicted model, not a curated record. The transcript is spliced from 2 exons. NCBI's taxonomy places the organism in Eukaryota, Metazoa, Chordata, Aves, Passeriformes, Pipridae.
CUGCGCGCGGCGCCGCUGGGGCGCGCUGCGCAUGCGCGGAGCGGUGAGUCCCGGUGAGGGCGGGCCUGCCCGGCUCGGUUGGUUUCAGGGAUAACACGGUUACAGGGAUAACACGGGCAUGGCACUGCUCGACUUGGUGACCGGCUCGUUGGUCUUGAUAGAGGGUAGUAAAGUUUUUGUCUGCUCCUGCAUUGCUCGAAUAGGUAUGUUGCCCACAGGUUUGUUAACCGGUUGCUAAAGAUGCGUAGCCAGAAUUUCCUGAAAGGAAAGGGUCUCUUGCCUAUAAAAAGAGCUUAUCUGAAUCAGGACUAAGCAAGGGCGUGGUGGGCAACUCUGAGCUCGAAAGUGAUACAAAUUUGGUGGCUAGGAUUGUAUUGAAGUGGAAGACUAGGAGGGUGCUUGCCUCUAGCUGAUGCUAUGGUAGCUUUAGAGGGUGCUUGCUGUUUAUAGAAAGCAGGAAAAGCUGAGGGAAAAAAUAAAAAUAUGUGUUGGUAGUGCAGUGUAUGCCUUGGCAUUUUUUUGUAAACAUGCAGUACUAUGGCUUGAAUUCACCAGAUCCUGAUGUGCCCAUACUUGCUCAUGGAAUGCACCACUCCCUUUUAGCCAUUCCUAGAGCAAGCUUUACCCUGGAAUUUAGCACACUUAUUAAGGCAAUUUAUUUCAUGCUUUUUCUCUUAUGUUUCAGUACAUUCUAGGCAAAGAGUACAAUGGGUUUUUAAAGCCUACACUUUUGUGGGGUAGGACAUGUUUAGGAACUGUACAUCCUCUAAACAUGGAGCUUCAACAGGGAAGAAAUGGCAAUCAGUCUCCUUCACUGAAGAAAAUAACGAGCUGCUGUUUUGCUCCUCCGUUGUAAAAUUAAUAGUUAUCCAUUCAAUUUUCUCGCUUCUCUGUCUUCAAGUCCCUUAGACUUCUAAUGGGAAAAAAUAAUUACAAUCAUACAGCAAACUGGUGAGUUUACCAUCCUUUCAAAAAUCUUACCUAGUACAACCUAUUUGUGAGAUACUUAAAGGUUUCACCUGGCUACACAUAUCCAUUUGUUCUCUUAGAACUGCAGCUGUAGGGCCAUAUGCAGCAUAGAGCAUAUCCACAUCCUUAGCACUUUGUUCUCUGUACUCAAGCUCUUUUUUGAAGUUCAUACAUAGAAAUGUUAACAAGGACACAGUUUCUGCCAUCUGGUCUACUUCUAUGACUUCCUUUAUACUCAUGCCAUCUUUCAUGCAACUAUGAGAACUUUAGUUUAAAAUCGGUCAUGGUAUCACCAAGUCCUUCUGAAUAAACAUAAAAUGUUGCUCUCUGGCAAGGUUUAAUAAGGCCAGAUUUACAAAACUGAUAGACAAUUUGUUGAAAGCAUGAAGUCAUGUAUUUUUGGACUGCUUUAGGAGUCAAAAUUAUUUUUAGAAGUAUUAAAACUUAUCUAUAUUUUUAAACUUUUUAUCUUUUAUGACUUAGUAUCAUCUAAGAAUGAAAACUAUAUUUGAGAUUCAAAAUACUGUAAUAAAGAAACUUUAUAGUUAAUAUUUAGAACUUGGAAGUUAUUUCUUGUGAAGGAGAUGCCUCAAAGAAGGAAAAAGGAAAACUUUCAAAGGAUAAGAUUCUUUUAAAACGAACUGAUUACUUAUGUUAACAAGAAGUUGAAAGGUGUUAAAGUCACAUGUUUUUUAAUUGCAGUACUUUGCAAAACAAAGUUACUGGGGAAUAUUCAGAACUCUUGAAGCCAGAGCUCAAAGAAUAAGUAAGUGGUUUCUGCAAGUUGAUGUACAUAUCUGCCUUAAGAAUGUGCAGCCCAUGGACAUAAGUAGUUUAGCAUGAAGGGACUUUUUACUCCAAAAAACCUAGAAUUGUACAAAGCGUGUAACAGAACUUUGAACUUCUCCUACCAGAAACUAUACCAACUGUUGUGCUGGUGCAUUUGUUGUUUGUAAAAAGCAUACUUUUCACUCAAUCCUGGUUUUGUUGGAUAUGCUUAUUAUAAUACGGUACUUGCAAGACAGGGUUAUGUUUAACAUUGGGAAAAUGGUGACUUAGUAGUCUUUCUACUAAUGUUCUGCAGAUCUUGUGUUAUCAUGCUCGAUGUGUAUUUAUUUUUCCUUCUUCCUCCCCUUUGUUUUUUUUCAAGCCUGGAAGCUUUGAGGCUAUUCAACAGAAAAUAUAGUUACUUUUUAACUACUUAAAA